This is a long non-coding RNA of Felis catus (domestic cat), 1378 nucleotides long. RefSeq lists it as uncharacterized. The record is from RefSeq and is a predicted model, not a curated record. The transcript is spliced from 3 exons. NCBI's taxonomy places the organism in Eukaryota, Metazoa, Chordata, Mammalia, Carnivora, Felidae.
CCUGCUCAAUCUCUAGUUUUCACUUACUAUUGAGAAAUCAUAUAUAUAUAUAAAAGAGAAAAAAGUGGGAAUUUAUCUUAUAGCAUUAAUGGGUAAAACCCAUUAUAUAGUGCCUAUAGAGUCCUCUUAAGAAGCAGUUCAUUCAAAAACGGACUAUAAUGUUCACCUGUCACUCUGAGAACUUUCUUCCUGGGUAUCAAUUUUCUUAUGGGAAGUGAGUAUAGAGUAACAGCAGCAUUGUUUGUCAAUGUCCUCCUGUGAUUGUUAGCAAUGCAUCCUUGCACAUAUUGUUUCAGACAAAAAAUUAGUAUUUUGCAUUAGAAGAGGAUAAUUAGGCAAUAAGAUACAAAAGCGAGUGUGGUUAUCAUGAGAUAAACACACACAUGGGGUGUUAUGAGGCACAGCCAAGUGUCUGUAAUCCCUCUAGGGUAUGAUUAUCUCGUGAUAACCACACACCCUGGAGUUGCCUUAUUGCUAUUAUAAAAUAUCUUUAUUAUAGGAAGAAAUGUGCAUUUUUGUGCAGAAAGGAGACGGAGCUGGCAAUUUAGAAUGCCGAACAGCAGUUUCAGCUGAGCUAUGUGGUUUACAUAGAUUAAUCUAUCCCAUUGGAAUGUUUCCCCAGCCAAAAAAAUGUUCCCUAAAUCCAAGCAGUCAUAAUCUGUAGUGAUGUGCAGCUAUUUGGAGCAUUUGAGAAAUUCCCUGCCUGGUUCUUAGGCUGUUGGUUUGAUGGUUGCAUGGGGUGAAUUCUGAGAUGCACAAUGACAAGAGGCUACAGUAUUGUGGAAGCUUGGUGUUCUGGGAACCCAAAUUGUGAUGCAUGCAAAUGUCAAAAUUCUGUACAAUAAUUUUAUCUGUUUUCUCGAUCAGAGUAAAUGUCUUAAAAUCCUUAUGAAAACAGCAUCUCACAACAGAAAUGUUCCUAAGGGAGAGAAAUUAUUAAGGUGGAAACAAGAAGAUGGAGAUGAAACUCAAAAUCGUGCGGAAGGAGUUGAUGAAUGUCACAGGACUCCUUCCAUUCAACCAUCUUCCAGUGUGACUGUUCUGGGAAUUGGCACUGAGCUUAUGGUGCCUUGUCACUACCAAUAGUGACUUCCAUUGAGUUAUUUCCUGCUACUGUCCUCUGCAAGUAGGACCUGUGUGUCCAUGCCUGCUAAUGCUGGCCCCUCAUUCCACAACACUGGUCCUGAUGCCAGCUACACCUGCCCCAGCACCACUCAGAAAAUGGCAACAGCUGGAGCAGGUACCUUGAGCCCAGAGAUGGAAACCCCAUGUCCAGGAUGAAUCUAGCAGCCUGCGUACUAAAGAUCCUGUGGACAAAGUAAGUGAAGCCUCCAGCCUUACUGCUAAUCUCUGAACUGUUAUGACAGGGAAACAGGCC